This 460-nucleotide ribosomal RNA is filed under the name uncultured bacterium. RNAcentral describes it as "partial 16S ribosomal RNA". It matches the Rfam family "Bacterial small subunit ribosomal RNA", at positions 338 to 795 of the family's 1533-position model. The record is from RNAcentral.
CCUACGGGAGGCAGCAGUGAGGAAUAUUGGUCAAUGGGCGUAAGCCUGAACCAGCCAAGUCGCGUGAGGGAUGAAGGUUCUAUGGAUCGUAAACCUCUUUUAUAAGGGAAUAAAGUGCGGGACGUAUCCUGUUUUGUAUGUACCUUAUGAAUAAGGAUCGGCUAACUCCGUGCCAGCAGCCGCGGUAAUACGGAGGAUCCGAGCGUUAUCCGGAUUUAUUGGGUUUAAAGGGUGCGUAGGCGGCCUUUUAAGUCAGUGGUGAAAGUCUGCGGCUCAACCAUAGAAUUGCAGUUGAUACUGGGAGGCUUGAGUAUGUUUGAGGCAGGCGGAAUGCGUGGUGUAGCGGUGAAAUGCUUAGAUAUCACGCAGAACCCCGAUUGCGAAGGCAGCCUGCCAAGCCAUGACUGACGCUGAUGCACGAAAGCGUGGGGAUCAAACAGGAUGAGAUACCCUUGUAGUC